UCUGGCUUUGAAUUUUUGAAUUUCUGUGUGCUGGGUGGAUGGGGGAACAGCUGGGGAGGUGUUUGCAAGAAUCUGGGAGCUUGUGUGCUUUUUUUUGAAUUUUUAUGAUUUUUUUGUGACCAUUGGGCCAUGUUGUUUUUUUUUGAAAAAAGUUUCUGGGUUUUAAAUUUCUGUGUGCUGGGUGGCUGGGGGAACAGCUGGGGAGGUGUUUGCAAGAAUCUGGGAGCUUGUGUGAUGAUUUAUGAAUUUUUAUGAUUUUUGUGUGCCCAUUGGGCCAUGUUGUUUUUUUUUGAAAAAGUUUCUGGGUUUUAAAUUUCUGUGUGCUGGGUGGAUUGGGGAACAGCUGGGGAGGUGUUUGCAAGAAUCUGGGAGCUUGUGUGCUUUUUUUUGAAUUUUUAUGAUUUUUUUGUGACCAUUGGGC
RNAcentral lists this long non-coding RNA (421 nucleotides) under Podarcis lilfordi (Lilford's wall lizard). Lineage: Eukaryota; Metazoa; Chordata; Lepidosauria; Squamata; Lacertidae. The record is from RNAcentral.